AUCCUAGGACCUCACUUAACAGCUUAAGCUUUUGGGUUGAGAUGAUUCUUUGACAUGAUAUCAGAGCUUUGAUGACCAAGCGGUCACGAGUUCGAAUCUCACCAUCCCCAUUUAUUUGAUAAAAUUAAGCACAAGGUAAUGUGAGUCUGUGCAAGUUUCAAGCCCAAAGAGCUUUCACUUGAGGGGGUGUGUUAG
Molecule: unclassified non-coding RNA, 195 nt
Filed under: Populus trichocarpa (black cottonwood)
Lineage: Eukaryota; Viridiplantae; Streptophyta; Magnoliopsida; Malpighiales; Salicaceae
Description: precursor microRNA ptr-MIR481c
Source: RNAcentral